This 460-nucleotide ribosomal RNA is filed under the name uncultured bacterium. RNAcentral describes it as "partial 16S ribosomal RNA". It matches the Rfam family "Bacterial small subunit ribosomal RNA", at positions 338 to 795 of the family's 1533-position model. The record is from RNAcentral.
CCUACGGGUGGCAGCAGUGAGGAAUAUUGGUCAAUGGGCUUACGCCUGAACCAGCCAAGUCGCGUGAGGGAAGACUGCCCUAUGGGUUGUAAACCUCUUUUGUCAGGGAGCAACGCCGGCUACGUGUAGCCGGACUGCGAUUACCUGAAGAAAAAGCAUCGGCUAACCCCGCUCCAUCAGCCGCGGUACUAUGGAGGAUUCGAGCGUUAUCCGGAUGUAGUGGGUUUAAAGGGUGCGUAGGCGGAAUGCCAAGUCAGCGGUUAAAUGGCGGGGAUCAACCUCGCUCCGCCGUUGAAACUGGCGUUCUUGAGUGGGCGAGAGGAAUGCGGAAUGCGUGGUGUAGCGGUGAAAUGCGUAGAUAUCACGCAGAACUACGGUUGCGAAGGCAGCAUACCGGCGCCCAACUGACGCUGAAGCACGAAAGCGUGGGUAUCGAACAGGAUUAGAUACCCUAGUAGUC